GCAAGAGAUUGCCUCUCAGUCUUUUCUUGAAGCUUUCAAAUGCAGGCUUUAGGCCUAUUGUGAUGCUAAUGGAUCUCCUCUGCCCUUACUUUGCCCAUUCUGCAUGGAGGGGGCAGCUCUAGUCCCCCAAGCAUGAAAGAAGUUGGGUACUCCCGGUUCUGAUCAUUACUGCCACCAGGAAGAGCUAGAAAACAGGGAUAUCUUAUUUAUUGGAGGAAUGACAGUGUGAACAGAGGCGUGGCUGCGUUCUCACCAGCUGAGAUAAACGCCGACCAGACCAGCACAGACAUCCUGUGCUCGUUUCCUUUACUUGGUUUUUCAAAUAAAGCCUUUGUGUGUCACUGGUAUUGUGAGGAAUACGAAAUAAUG
Molecule: long non-coding RNA, 369 nt
Filed under: Homo sapiens (human)
Lineage: Eukaryota; Metazoa; Chordata; Mammalia; Primates; Hominidae
Description: HSALNT0169000
Source: RNAcentral